RNAcentral lists this ribosomal RNA (465 nucleotides) under Vreelandella stevensii. Its description in RNAcentral is "partial 16S ribosomal RNA". It matches the Rfam family "Bacterial small subunit ribosomal RNA", at positions 338 to 795 of the family's 1533-position model. The record is from RNAcentral. Lineage: Bacteria; Pseudomonadati; Pseudomonadota; Gammaproteobacteria; Oceanospirillales; Halomonadaceae.
CCUACGGGUGGCUGCAGUGGGGAAUAUUGGACAAUGGGCGAAAGCCUGAUCCAGCCAUGCCGCGUGUGUGAAGAAGGCCUUCGGGUUGUAAAGCACUUUCAGUGGGGAAGAAAGCCUUGGGGCUAAUACCCUCGAGGAAGGACAUCACCCACAGAAGAAGCACCGGCUAACUCCGUGCCAGCAGCCGCGGUAAUACGGAGGGUGCGAGCGUUAAUCGGAAUUACUGGGCGUAAAGCGCGCGUAGGCGGUCUGAUAAGCCGGUUGUGAAAGCCCCGGGCUCAACCUGGGAACGGCAUCCGGAACUGUCAGGCUAGAGUGCAGGAGAGGAAGGUAGAAUUCCCGGUGUUGCGGUGAAAUGCGUAGAGAUCGGGAGGAAUACCAGUGGCGAAGGCGGCCUUCUGGACUGACACUGACGCUGAGGUGCGAAAGCGUGGGUAGCAAACAGGAUUAGAUACCCGAGUAGUC